This 208-nucleotide unclassified non-coding RNA is filed under the name soil metagenome. RNAcentral describes it as "partial contains 5.8S ribosomal RNA, internal transcribed spacer 2, and large subunit ribosomal RNA". The record is from RNAcentral.
AACCUUAUGGACCUGCGGGCGUAUACCUGCGGAGGGAUCAUUACUGAGUGAGGGCCUUCGGGCUCGACCUCCAACCCUUUGUGAACACAACUUGUUGCUUCGGGGGCGACCCUGCCGUUUCGACGGCGAGCGCCCCCGGAGGCCUUCAAACACUGCAUCUUUGCGUCGGAGUUUAAGUAAAUUAAACAAAACUUUUAGCAAUGGAUCU